Alexandromys fortis (reed vole) is the source of this 958-nucleotide long non-coding RNA. RefSeq lists it as uncharacterized. Lineage: Eukaryota; Metazoa; Chordata; Mammalia; Rodentia; Cricetidae. The record is from RefSeq and is a predicted model, not a curated record. The transcript is spliced from 6 exons.
CCCCUUUGCAGUCCACUAAUCCACUGGCUCCCCUCUCUCCCUCUCCUGUCAUCACAUUGCAGAAAAGAAGGAAGGCACAGUAUUUCAGAGCAGCACAUUUAAGAUUAGAGAAAUACUUUCGAUUCUCUUUUCCUCAUAUGGGUGGAGCCCUCCCUAGUGAGUUAGUAAUACUCAGGCUGACUUCCUGCUCUCAGCUGUGGGCCACAACUCAGGGACUGGAAGCCUGUGAGAAGACCAAGGAUCAGAGCUCACCCUUCCAUGACCCUGGCAGGACCUGGGAGACAGAAGGUGGCAGCUUCAGCAACAGGAUGUCCACAGCACACGAGAACACAGAAUCUAUAUUCCAGCUCUUCAGAGUACUUAAAUUGGACAUUUCAGAUGCAAUAAAAGAUUUAUUUCCUUUUCUGGAUGUCCUCUGUGACAACAAUGUCAUCAGCGAUAAACAGUAUGAAGGUUCUUCUGUGACCUGGAAGUCUGCACUUAAAUUUUCUCCAUUAAAUAUCUUUAAAGGAUUAUCAAGAAUCCUGUACAAACCUGAUCCCUGUGCAAAAAGUGGUCUACAAAGUCUUGAAAGGACUGGAAGAGAAACAUGACAGGAGGCUCUAAGGUUAUUGUUCUGUAAGCAAAAUAUGGAGGCAUACCCUGAUUUGGAACACAUUUUUAAAAGAUUUAAAAAUGUCUUACCACAGGAUGAACUGCAUUUGGAAGAAAUUGAUAGAGGGGACCUGAACUCACAGCUCAGUCUUGAACAAGGCACAGCAUCUACCACAUCCACCAAUGAAGAGGGACAGAGGGAAAACCCAACAAACCCAGAGUGAACAAAGAAAAACAUAACUGCCCCAUGACCUUCUGCCAUGAUGUCUGAGGCCCUCAUCUGCCAAUUGUUAGUUGUUCAUUUCUACCAUGUUAUAGUUUGUUAAAUUUACUGAUGAAAAUAAAAAUGGAUUUUAUUAUAUGA